UACGAACUGUGCGAACGUUACUCGGAAUCACUGGGCUUACAGGGUGCGUAGGCGGCUUGCUAAGCAGGGUGUGAAAUCCCUCGGCUCAACCGAGGAACUGCGCUCUGAACUGGCGAGCUGGAGGAUGCUAGGGGUGUAUGGAACAUCUAGUGGAGUGGUGAAAUGUGUUGAUAUUAGGUGGAACGCCGGAGGCGAAGGCGAUACACUGGGGCAUAUCUGACGCUGAGGCACGAAAGCCAGGGGAGCAAACGGG
Molecule: ribosomal RNA, 253 nt
Filed under: uncultured bacterium
Lineage: Bacteria
Description: partial 16S ribosomal RNA
Rfam family: Bacterial small subunit ribosomal RNA
Source: RNAcentral